CCCUCGCGCCGACGAUCUUCUCGCGCAUUCGGUCCAGCC
This 39-nucleotide small RNA is filed under the name Propionibacterium ruminifibrarum. RNAcentral describes it as "Propionibacterium sp. JV5 CRISPR_Spacer". Lineage: Bacteria; Bacillati; Actinomycetota; Actinomycetes; Propionibacteriales; Propionibacteriaceae. The record is from RNAcentral.